This 1302-nucleotide ribosomal RNA is filed under the name uncultured Arthrobacter sp. RNAcentral describes it as "bacterial SSU rRNA". It matches the Rfam family "Bacterial small subunit ribosomal RNA", at positions 52 to 1367 of the family's 1533-position model. The record is from RNAcentral. Lineage: Bacteria; Bacillati; Actinomycetota; Actinomycetes; Micrococcales; Micrococcaceae.
CACAUGCAAGUCGAACGAUGAAGCCCAGCUUGCUGGGUGGAUUAGUGGCGAACGGGUGAGUAACACGUGAGUAACCUGCCCCCGACUCUGGGAUAAGCCCGGGAGACUGGGUAUAAUACCGGAUAUUACAUUGAGCGCAUGCUUCAUGGUGCAAAGAUUUAUGGGUGGGCGAUGGACUAGCGGCCUAUCAACUUGUUGGUGAGGUAAUGGCUGACCAAGGCGACGACGGGUAGCCGGCCUGAGAGGGUGAGCGGCCACACUGGGACUGAGACACGGACCAGACUCCUACGGGAGGCAGCAGUGGGGAAUAUUGCACAAUGGGCGAAAGCCUGAUGCAGCGACGCCGCGUGAGGGAUGACGGCCUUCGGGUUGUAAACCUCUUUCAGUAGGGAAGAACCGAAAGUGACGGUAACUGCAGAAGAAGCGCCGGCUAACUACGUGCCAGCAGCCGCGGUAAUACGUAGGGCGCAAGCGUUAUCCGGAUCUAUUGGGCGUAAAGAGCUCGUAGGCGGUUUGUCGCGUCUGCCGUGAAAGUCCGAGGCUCAACCUCGGAUCUGCGGUGGGUACGGGCAGACUAGAGUGAUGUAGGGGAGACUGGAAUUCCUGGUGUAGCGGUGAAAUGCGCAGAUAUCAGGAGGAACACCGAUGGCGAAGGCAGGUCUCUGGGCAUUUACUGACACUGAGGAGCGAAAGCAUGUGGAGCGAACAGGAUUAGAUACCCUGGUAGUCCAUGCCGUAAACGUUGGGCACUAGGUGUGGGGGACAUUCCACGUUUUCCGCGCCGUAGCUAACGCAUUAAGUGCCCCGCCUGGGGAGUACGGCCGCAAGAAUAAAACUCAAAGGAAUUGACGGGGGCCCGCACAAGCGGCGGAGCAUGCGGAUUAAUUCGAUGCAACGCGAAGAACCUUACCAAGGCUUGACAUGUGCCAGACCGCCUCAGAGAUGGGGUUUCCCUUCGGGGCUGGUUCACAGGUGGUGCAUGGUUGUCGUCAGCUCGUGUCGUGAGAUAUUGGGUUAAGUCGCGCAACGAGCGCAACCCUCGUUUAACUUUGCCAGCACGUAGGGUGGGGACUCAUGGGAGACUGCCGGGGUCAACUCGGAGGAAGGUGGGGAUGACGUCAAAUCAUCAUGCCCCUUAUGUCUUGNGAUUCACGCAUGCGCCAAUGGCCGGUACAAUGGGUUGCGAUACUGUGAGGUGGAGCUAAUCCCCUAAAGCCGGUCUCAGUUCGGAUUGGGGUCUGCAACUCGAAUCCAUGAAGUCNGAGUCGCUAGUAAUCGCAGAUCAGCAACGCUGCGGUGAAU